Molecule: unclassified non-coding RNA, 200 nt
Filed under: soil metagenome
Description: partial contains internal transcribed spacer 2 and large subunit ribosomal RNA
Source: RNAcentral
GUUCUGCUCUGUUGGGUGAUUGGAUUUGGGCGUUGCCGGCCUGGCCGGCUCGCCUUAAAGGCGUUAGUGGGAUCAGCAGACCCGAUCGGCGUAAUAAGUUUCGCUGAGGAGGUUUGCGCGAGACCGCUCACAACCCUCUCCUUUGGAGAACACUCUUUUGAUCUGACCUCAAAUCAGGUAGGACUACCCGCUGAACUUAA